This 1356-nucleotide long non-coding RNA is filed under the name Sus scrofa (pig). RNAcentral's name for it is "lncRNA (ENSSSCG00070008482.1)". Lineage: Eukaryota; Metazoa; Chordata; Mammalia; Artiodactyla; Suidae. The record is from RNAcentral.
AUGAAGAAAAGCCACAAAGACAUUAUAAAAGAAGAUCCUGAGGACCUGGGGGAGGAGUGGUCCAGCCUCAGGUCAGUCGUGGCCGCUCCUUCUGCCACCAUGGUCCUUGUAGAUGAGGUAACUGAUGAAAAUGAUACUUAUACAGAAAUUAUCACUCCAGUGACGAACAAUCAGGAUGAAGAAGAAGUCAGAGGGUUCUGUGGGAGCCUGAGAUUCCGUUUCGGAAAUGACAAGGCUCCUCUGAAAAGCCAAGCUUGUCCAUGGAAACACGCUCUCUGCCGGCAGCCGUUGGACCCAUCCUGUGCAGGGGUUGACUUCCCUCUGAAAGUGGUACGAUGACACGUCACCACGGUAAUGUGCUUGUGCACUUCUUGCCUCAUGGUCAGGCUGUCGCUCUGUGGCCUGAGAGGUUUGUACGUGGUGGCCAGUGUGACGCUCUCACUUCACGGCUCAUGCUUUAGGAAUGGGCAAUCUCAAUCACUGUUCCUAAGGUAAGUUUACAUUGCUCCCCCGAGUGGCUGUUCCUUCAGAUGGGCUCGCUCACUUUGUCUCCUGCAUUUUUCCUUCUUGUGUUUUUCUUCUCAUUUCUACCCCUCUGAGCUAUCUCUAGAGUUAUGCGUAUAACUUCCGGGUUCGUUGUCUUAAUUAAUAUGUCUGGUCCACCUGCCUCAGAUUCAUCACCCGUCAUUGUUGUGACGCUUGGACUGUCACUUGGUUACCCCUCAUGUGGGUCCUGUUUGCACUUCCUCACCUUCAACAGGACUGAGUAUCAGAGGAGAUGAAAAUAGGUACUGUCCAUGAGCUGCGAAGCAUCGUUCCCAUGAAGAUGCUGGGGAAUAAGCUUCCACCCUUCCCGACUUGAGGCAUCCAUUUACCCCCUUUGGUUUUCAGCCACCACUGACUGUCUAGCUUACUCUUGCCAUCACUCAAGGCUGAACGCAUACGGAGCAUUGACGAGGCACCCGUCCUUCCUUUUUCUAAAAUGUUACCCGUACUUCAUGAAGUCGUCCUCAUAACAUCAUACUAAAAGUCAGCCUUCUAGAAUACCAUUUCCACCUCGUAGAACAGGGCAUCGAGGCCCUUAGGGAUCUACAACCCUUUCCCCAGGUUCAUGAUUCUUCUGAAUGUGUUUGAACCAGACCAUCAGGCACGAUCACUCUUCCUUUGCUGUGUUUCUAGAAGGUCUCAGUUAAACAAAGGUGGUUGUUCAAAAAUCCUGUCUGUUGGUUGUUUUAAACUGCAUGAUCCUUCUAAGUCUGACCUUGAUCCAGGCAGCACUCCUGGGCAGCUGGUGAGCCAGGGGACCAAAAGAUUAAAUGGAAUAAAUGAGUACAAAUUUCCCUACGGUCUUCUGAC